AUGCAAGUCGAACGGUAACAGGAAGCAGCUUGCUGCUUCGCUGACGAGUGGCGGACGGGUGAGUAAUGUCUGGGAAACUGCCUGAUGGAGGGGGAUAACUACUGGAAACGGUAGCUAAUACCGCAUAACGUCGCAAGACCAAAGUGGGGGACCUUCGGGCCUCAUGCCAUCAGAUGUGCCCAGAUGGGAUUAGCUAGUUGGUGGGGUAACGGCUCACCAAGGCGACGAUCCCUAGCUGGUCUGAGAGGAUGACCAGCCACACUGGAACUGAGACACGGUCCAGACUCCUACGGGAGGCAGCAGUGGGGAAUAUUGCACAAUGGGCGCAAGCCUGAUGCAGCCAUGCCGCGUGUAUGAAGAAGGCCUUCGGGUUGUAAAGUACUUUCAGUGAGGAGGAAGGCAUGAUGCUUAAUACGCAUCGUGAUUGACGUUACUCACAGAAGAAGCACCGGCUAACUCCGUGCCAGCAGCCGCGGUAAUACGGAGGGUGCAAGCGUUAAUCGGAAUUACUGGGCGUAAAGCGCACGCAGGCGGUCUGUUAAGUCAAAUGUGAAAUCCCCGGGCUCAACCCGGGAACUGCAUUUGAAACUGGCAGGCUUGAGUCUCGUAGAGGGGGGUAGAAUUCCAGGUGUACCGGUGAAAUGCGUAGAGAUCUGGAGGAAUACCGGUGGCGAAGGCAGCCCCCUGGACAAAAACUGAC
This 700-nucleotide ribosomal RNA is filed under the name Franconibacter sp. O2. RNAcentral's name for it is "bacterial SSU rRNA". It matches the Rfam family "Bacterial small subunit ribosomal RNA", at positions 55 to 744 of the family's 1533-position model. The record is from RNAcentral. Lineage: Bacteria; Pseudomonadati; Pseudomonadota; Gammaproteobacteria; Enterobacterales; Enterobacteriaceae.